This 508-nucleotide long non-coding RNA is filed under the name Ananas comosus (pineapple). Its description in RNAcentral is "long non-coding RNA (ACOM_LNC032558)". The record is from RNAcentral. Lineage: Eukaryota; Viridiplantae; Streptophyta; Magnoliopsida; Poales; Bromeliaceae.
GACGAGCCGAGCUAGAGGUGCCCCUACUGCAGGUAGUUAUUUUGUUGGAGUUCAUGUACAUAUAGUUAUUUAACUCGCCAGUGCGAGUAGUUUUGUAUUUUGGAUUUGAUAUAUGUAUAUGGAACUAAGUUUGUUUUAGUUGCUGGUUCUUUUGGAGCAGCUCUAUACUACUGUUUGUAGUAUUGUAUGUUUUACAGGCACAGCUAUCGCUUCGUAUACAGAAAAAAAAAUUUUGUAUACGGCGGAUUUGUCGGCGUGCCCGGGGAACGAGUAAUCCAGGGCGUGACAAGUGGGGGGUCGAAGAGAAAAAAAAAGAAAAAAGAACGAGCGAAAAAAAAUAAGAGGAAAAGAAUGCGGCGUUACCUUUUUUACAGUCGUAAGGAGCCGGGGAGGCAAUGGAGGAGGGUCGGAGUGGAAAAUUUUAAAAAAAGGUCGCGGCGCGGCCUCGGAGGGGUCAGAGGCGACGAAGGCGGGGGGGUGCACGGGCGAGAGUGAUGGUGCACCGGUC